Molecule: long non-coding RNA, 1584 nt
Filed under: Ceratitis capitata (Mediterranean fruit fly)
Lineage: Eukaryota; Metazoa; Arthropoda; Insecta; Diptera; Tephritidae
Description: uncharacterized LOC110118740
Source: RNAcentral
UCCAACCUUGCUGCACGACAUUUACAAUUAUCACAAGCGAAAUCCAGCGCGAGUUUUUCAUGUAGGAAAGAUUACCGGCUAGAUCCAAAAGUCAAAUUUGAUUACGACAGUUAAAAGCCUAACAUUUAGGGAGUUACUUUCGGUAGCUUGCCCUUCUCCACUUCAAAGAACAGAGUCGUUACUAAAACGUUAUGUCGCUAGCCAGCAGCAGCCCAGAUCCAAGCUGCAUGCCGCAACAUAUGGUCAAACAACCAACACAUAUCACAAAUGUUUCAGUAAAUCCUGCGGAUAACGAGCUACGCAUUUAGAAUACACCAAGCACCAAAAGGAUGGAUACUCUGCUAGAGAACCACUAGUUCUUAACCAGUUUGCUCAGUUUUACAAUGAGUGUAGCUUCGAAAAUGCCAGUUAACUACCUCUGCAUCAGCUUCUUACUAGUAAAAUAGUAGUUAUCUCUUGCAUGUUGAAGUUCAAAUCAAGGAAAGGAAUUACCAGAGAACUACUCGACCAGCAUGACUAUAUAAAUAAUGACGACUUAAGACCCAUUUCAACAGAGCUCAUAUGAUGAUUAAAUAAUCGUGCUCGGCCUAUUUGGAUUGCCCAGUAGCUUAAGAUUAGUCAAAGGACGGAUAAGAACCACUUGCUGGCUGUCUGCAAAAUAUACGGAUGGUGGCUGGGAUGAAAAGGGAAAACGGUCGUGGUUGAAAGGCAGUGUGCCGGCAUAAACGUUCCCCAAACUAAUAUGAAUGGCCAGGAUGGUCUUGUUGAGUAUUUCGCUAUGAGCUGCUCCCUUACAGCGAAACGCUUCAGAAUUUAGACUUUAUUGUUAACAGGCAGAUCGUGCAACGGAAGCAAUCGCCCAAAAGCGCCCAGCUUUGGCAAAAAGGAGGAGAAUAUGAAUUCAUCAGAACAAAGCCAGAACUCACGCAUCGAUAGCGACUCGUAAAGCUUAGCUAGGAGGUGCUUAUGCUUUCGACGGAUCUGACUGUGUCAAUGGCGAACAACUUGUCUGGUGAAGAACUGACCUCAAGAGAAGCCUAUAGGGAAAAGGGUUUCUAUGAAAGAGGAUAAUGGCUUAACCUACAAAAUGGCAAAAAGUUAUCAAAAACUAAUUACUUUUUAUUGUUAUAAUUUAAUUUAAAAAUACUAAUUUGCAACUAGUACUUUUACAUACCAGUUUGGCCACUAAAUGCAGGAUAUUUUACGGUGCCACAUGUGCAAGUAUGUAUUUAUGCAUUAGAAGUGUUCAGCUCCAUGCUCAGUUGGGUUUGAGUAAAUGUCUCAAAAAUGAAAUGUGUGAAUAUUUGUGCUUGUUUGUGCGCUGCUGUAACAUGUUAAAUUUGACAAGACAACAGCUGUGUGUUAGCUAGCAAGCGGUACUAAAACAAAAACAAACAAAAAAAAAAGAAAACAGUAAAGAGAAACUAAAAAUUAAAAAGGGAGUAGAAGUGUUAUGCAGAAAACUCCAAAGGACUAAAAGGACUAGAUGUGCGACAUGCGUGUGUUAGUGUGGCAAAUGAAAAAUCAACUUGGCCGAAAGAUGAAAUUUAAUUUUCAAAAAACAAUGAUUUUUCAGGGGAAUUG